ACUCAAAGGAAUAGACGGGGGCCCGCACAAGCAGCGGAGCAUGUUGUUUAAUUCGAAGCUACGCGAAGAACCUUACCAGGGCUUGACAUCCCUUGACGUUGUCGGAAACGGCAAUUCCCUUCGGGGCAAGGAGACAGGUGGUGCAUGGUUGUCGUCAGCUCGUGUCGUGAGAUGUUAGGUUAAGUCCUGCAACGAGCGCAACCCCUAUGUUCAGUUACUAACGUGUAGAGGCGAGGACUCUGGACAGACUGCCGAGGGACAACUCGGAGGAAGGUGGGGACGACGUCAAAUCAUCAUGCCCCUUAUGUUCUGGGCUACAAACGUGCUACAAUGGCCGCAACAAAGAGAAGCGAAGGCGCAAGUCGGAGCGGAUCUCAAAAAAGCGGUCUCAGUUCGGAUCGUGGGCUGCAACCCGCCCGCGUGAAGUCGGAGUUGCUAGUAAUCGCGGAUCAGCAUGCCGCGGUGAAUACGUUCCCGGGCCUUGUACACACCGCCCGU
This 498-nucleotide ribosomal RNA is filed under the name uncultured bacterium. Its description in RNAcentral is "bacterial SSU rRNA". It matches the Rfam family "Bacterial small subunit ribosomal RNA", at positions 899 to 1397 of the family's 1533-position model. The record is from RNAcentral.